This 5047-nucleotide long non-coding RNA is filed under the name Citrus maxima (pomelo). RNAcentral describes it as "long non-coding RNA (CMAX_LNC002993)". The record is from RNAcentral. Lineage: Eukaryota; Viridiplantae; Streptophyta; Magnoliopsida; Sapindales; Rutaceae.
UCAAACCUGUCAUCACCUCCACUGGUAAUAAUUACUUUCUAAUUUUUCUUGCUCGUGUUGUCAUGAUCAUGCGUUGAACAUAUAUAUAAUCACGCAGGAUCAGAUGUUUUGCUUAAACAAGUUCCUUUAAUUUAAUAGGGUUGGAUAUAGUUAAGUAAUUAAUUACCUUUUUCGACUUGAUCAUAGUGAUCACUCGUACGUAUUCUAUCAAAGCUGUCAUGCAAAACAGAUCAAGCUGAUAGAAGCCCAUCUUUAAAACAGUAAUGAACUAUAAUUAGAAGAUUUUGGAUUUUCGCCUUACUUUGCUUUGUGACCAAGCUUCUUCGCCUAAUUUUAGUUUGCUUCAUGAUCACGUUUUUGCGUUUAAUUUUAUUCACUAUCCAUAUAUAAAAUUAUGACCUAAGACGGAUAUGUCAAGUUUAAGGUUUUUGUAUGUGCAUGGUUUUUUUUUUUUUUUGGCCCAAAAAAAAAAAUGAUACAAUCGAAAGCGUAAUCUAGUGAGACUGUAGACUUCUACGCGCCUACUAAUAUUUGGGGAGCAUAUCCACUUUACUCAAAACAUGUAAGAGAAGUCAUACAGAUUUCUAGUCCUUAAGAGGGAUUUCAAUCUUUUUGUUGAUAGAGCGGCUUACAAGUCUUGCUAUAUAUGCCCUUGAAGUGACUGUGCAUGGUCACUGCGGGAGAUUUUUCUAAUCAUAAACUUUAAUCUGUGGUAAUUUAAACGGCUAAUUAAUACUUAUAAUUUUCAUGCAGUUUGGAAUGAAUUAGAGAAAGAAAACAAAGAGUUCUUCGAGGCAUACGCUCAAUCUCAAAGCAAAGAAGAUCGAAUGUCCGAGGAAGAGACGAGUCAAAUGAUCCAGAAGAUGAUCUCCACUAAUUCCUCCAAUUCUCAAAACGACGACGACCAAGAUUAAACUUAAUUCCCCUAGCGAAGAACUCUUUGAAAACAAUAUAUAGGUAUAGAUAUAUAUAUAUGUAUGUAUAUAUCCUCUCUCGCUCUCAAAUAAUUAAUUUAGCCAAAAUAGUAACAACUCUCGCCAAUGUUGGUCCCUUUAGCUCAAGCUUAGUGUUAUACUUAUAUUGAACCAAUCAAACAAAAGGGUCAUCCUGUAAUUCCGAAUUGACAUCAAUGUGGUGAAAUUUGAUUGGAUGUGCGGAUUGUGUUCAUAGGAAGCUAUUUGUGCGUUUAUAUGAACAUGCUUUGGUUGGUAUGGUGAUGCGAUGCUAAUGACACCUGGAAUCUUCCUGUUGCGUUGUGGUACAAGGUUAUAUUUGUCUUUGUGUUGGGUAAGUGGACAGAGAAUGGCAUGUGAUGUUAUUAGUCAUUUGGUCAUUCAGCAAGUGUUAAUAGUAAAUGAAGCAAAAUAUAGUGGUGUGGGGACUCAGCAUCUUUGUGUUUGCUAUAUAUAUCGUCGCAAUCAUGUACUUUUGCUUUUAGCAAUUGAUGAAGGCGAUGCUAAUUACCGGUUUUAAUUGUGUAAGCCGUUCGUCGAGUAUCAUCUUGUAAAUUUCUUACCAGCUUUUAAUUCAUACGGUGAAAUGUGUGUCGCUGGACGAUAGUCGAGGACUAAAAGGAAUUAACUUUCUUGUAAAUUACUUAUCAACUUUCAUUUCAUACACCAACAAAGUAUUGGCUCCACUUGCAAUGGAGUCCCCUUAAGUGAUUUGACUGGAUUUGCUUCUCAGUUCGAGUCGUAGGAAAGUCGUCUUUGUUGGGAGAACCUGUGCCUCUCGGUUCGAGCUGGAACUUCUAGUCUGGGUUGUGGUACGGGCUUAAAGGUGCCUCCCACAGUUGGGGCCCUUCUCAGAAUACCUCGUGGUUAAAAAAAAAAAAAAAAAACUUUCAUUUCAUACGGUGAAAUGUGUUUCAUUGGACGAUAAUCGAGGAUUAAAAGGAAUAAUUUUCUUGUAAAUUUUUUAUCAGCUUUCCCUUCAUAUGGAAAAAUGUGUUUUAUUGAAUGAUAGUCAAGGAUUAAAAGGAAUUAACUAAAGAUUGAUGAAUGACUACUCUUGGGGAAAGUCUUGGGUGGUACUCGACAUCGUUACAUUGGCAAAUCUUGCGCUAUGCCAUUAACUUACCCCAAUGAUAUCAAAAAUACCAAAAACCAAAAUUUUAAGAUUUGAUGCACUUAGUCAUAUUUUGUAUAUGUUAUAUAAAUAUUAUCUAUUUCAAAUUUUAAUAUUGAAUCUACUGUAGCACUUUGGUAAAUUCUGCAUUUGCGCCAUUAAUUUGGUGAAUCGCAUUUUGAGUUUGAAUCCCGGUAGUGUAAUUAAUUUUCAAUUUGGUAUUUUGGAAGCCCAAUGUUAUCAAAAGUACCAAAAACCAAAAAUUUUAAGAUUUAAUACACUUAUUCAAUUUCUGUCUUUGUUAUAUAAGUAAUAUAUGUUUCAGAUUUUAACAUUGAAUCCACCAUGGCAUUUUGGCAAAUUUUGCAUUUGCACCAUUAAUUUGGUGAAUUGAAUUUUAAGUUGGAAUCCCGACAGUGGAAUUAAUUUACAAUUUAGUCAGCUUCUGUAUUUGUAAUGUAAUAACACCCUGAAAGGAACAUGUCUUCUCUCUCAUCAGUUUUCUCUCCCUGAGAAAGCUUAGAGAAUAAAAGUUAUAAUUGAGCCUUUAUGGCUCGUUGAAUCGCUCUUAUUGAGUGUUCUUUUUCUUUAAAACCAUACUUAAUAAUAGUUUAGUGGUUUUCACUCUUUCUUAAUUUUUUUUCAAAGCAUCUAAGGAAUGGAAAUGUCGUCCAAAUACACAACCACAAAACGGUUGAGGAAUGGUUAUAGCACCUUGUUCAUGAGUGUGUAAAAUGUGGAGGGUGCAUUAGUGAGGCCAAAAGGCAUGACAAGGAAUUCGAAAGACCCGUACUUUGUUGUGCACGUUGUCUUUGGUUCGUCUCCCUUGGCGAUGCGCACUUGAUAAUACCCGGAGCGCAAGUCGAGUUUAGUAAAGUACCGCGCCUUGCCAAGCUGGUCGAACAAGUCUGUGAUUAAAGGAAUCAGAUACUUGUUCUUAAUGAUGAUCUUGUUGAGCGCUCUAUAGUCGAUGCACAUCCGCAACGAUCCAUCAUUUUUCUUUUGGAAGAUGACCAAUGCACCGAAUGAGGCCUUUGAGGGGCGAAUGUAGCCUGCGUUCAGCAAGUCUUUAAGUUGUCUCCGCAACUCCUCAAGUUCGGGUGGCGCCAUGCGGUAGGGCGCCAAGGCUGGUGGCUUCGCACCUUGUUCCAAUUCGAUCGCAUGGUCUACCUCUCGUCGAGGUGGGAGCUUCUUCAGAAGUUCAAGAGGCAUCACGUUCUUGUAUUCGUUGAGGACGGUUUGUAUUUGCGGAAGGACUUGGCUUGGCGAUUUUCUGCAAUCUCCUUCCUCGUUUAAUUCCCAGAUGGAGACCAAGAAGUUUGGGUCCUUCUUGAAAGCCCUUUUGAAUUGCAUGGCGGAGAGUGUCUUCUCUUCGGACUUGCCUCGUUUCGUAGGAACCAUGCAUGCUUUGCUUCUGUCGAUGAUGCUUAGGGAGUUCGUAACGGGCAGCGGGAAGGCAUGGACUUGGUCGAAGAAUUCCAUGCCGAGGACCAGCUUGAAGUCAUCUAUGGGAACAAUAGAGAAGUCAAGCUUUUCGCUCCAUGUUCCAAGCGUCGUGUGCACGCCUUGUGCGAUACCCACAAUGGGCUUGGCGGGCCAGUUUACUGCCUUCAUCGUGCCUUCUUCCUAAGCACUUGGCCUGACCUACGGACACAAAGUUUUGUGUUGCUCCCGUGUCUACUAGCGCGCGAACAGACUGACCGUUUAUCUUCGCGCUCACUUACAUGAGCCAUUUUUUAGUGAAUGUGGGCUGUUGGCGAUGGAGUGCGCCGAGACGUUGGAGAGAACCCAUGCUAAGUUGUGGUUCUUCUGUGAACAUUGUGGGGUUGCUCUUGAGUUGAGUAGCAAGAGCGUUGAGCGACUUCUUCUCCGGACAGUUGCGUACCUAAUGAGAACCGUUGCAUAUAAAGCAUGGGCUUCGUGGCUUUGGCGCCUCCUUUUUGUUGUCCUACAAUUUUCCUUGCCCGCUCUUGUUGCUAAGAGACUUUUUCUGCCCCUAGUCUUUGCAGUUGUUGCCCUUGUCCUUGUAACUCUCUCCCCCACCUUUGCCUUGGUUGACCUUUUUGUCUUUAGAUUGGGUAGAGUACUCGGUGAGCAAUUCUGUAACGACGAUGGCGUCAUCAAGUGUUUGAACACCCCGCUUAUCAAGCUCGGUCUUGGCUCAAUCCUUGAAGCCAUCUUGGAAGUAGAAGAGUGAGUUCUUGUCAGACAUGUCGCUUAUCUCCAACAUGAGGGUAGUGAACUCGUUGUUCUAGUCACGAAUACUACCCAAUUGUUUAAGGCGACGUAGGUGCGCUGGCGCUUCUUUCUCCACAUUGCUUGGGGCGAACUGUUUUCGGAUUUCUUGCUUGAAGUCAGCCCAAGUAUCAAUGGUGCAAAUGCUUUUGCCCAUAUAUAUAAUCACGCAGGAUCAGAUGUUUUGCUUAAACAAGUUCCUUUAAUUUAAUAGGGUUGGAUAUCGUUAAGUAAUCAAUUACCUUUUUCGACUUUAUCAUAGUGAUCACUCGUACGUAUUCUAUCAAAGCUGUCAUGCAAAACAGAUCAAGCUGAUAGAAGCCCAUCUUUAAAACAGUAAUGAACUAUAAUUAGAAGAUUUUGGAUUUUCGCCUUACUUUGCUUUGUGACCAAGCUUCUUCGCCUAAUUUUAGUUUGCUUCAUGAUCACGUUUUUGCGUUUAAUUUUAUUCACUAUCCAUAUAUAAAAUUAUGACCUAAGACGGAUAUGUCAAGUUUAAGGUUUUUGUAUGUGCAUGGUUUUUUUUUUUUUGGCCCAAAAAAAAAAAUGAUACAAUCGAAAGCGUAAUCUAAUGAGACUGUAGACUUCUACGCGCCUACUAAUAUUUGGGGAGCAUAUCCACUUUACUCAAAACAUGUAAGAGAAGUCAUACAGAUUUCUAGUCCUUAAGAGGGAUUUCAAUCUUUUUGUUGAUAGAGCGGCUUACCAGUCUUGCUAUAUAUGCCCUUGAAGUGACUGUGCAUGG